RNAcentral lists this transfer RNA (84 nucleotides) under Phormidesmis priestleyi Ana. RNAcentral's name for it is "tRNA-Leu". It matches the Rfam family "tRNA". From Rfam's summary of the family: Transfer RNA (tRNA) molecules are approximately 80 nucleotides in length. Their secondary structure includes four short double-helical elements and three loops (D, anti-codon, and T loops). Further hydrogen bonds mediate the characteristic L-shaped molecular structure. tRNAs have two regions of fundamental functional importance: the anti-codon, which is responsible for specific mRNA codon recognition, and the 3' end, to which the tRNAs corresponding amino acid is attached (by aminoacyl-tRNA synthetases). tRNAs cope with the degeneracy of the genetic code in two manners: having more than one tRNA (with a specific anti-codon) for a particular amino acid; and 'wobble' base-pairing, i.e. permitting non-standard base-pairing at the 3rd anti-codon position. Lineage: Bacteria; Bacillati; Cyanobacteriota; Cyanophyceae; Leptolyngbyales; Leptolyngbyaceae. The record is from RNAcentral.
GGGGGCGUGGCGGAAUGGUAGACGCUGCGGAUUUAAAAUCCGUUGACUGUAAAAGUCGUGGGGGUUCAAGUCCCCCCGCCCCCA